RNAcentral lists this ribosomal RNA (422 nucleotides) under uncultured bacterium. RNAcentral's name for it is "partial 16S ribosomal RNA". It matches the Rfam family "Bacterial small subunit ribosomal RNA", at positions 360 to 774 of the family's 1533-position model. The record is from RNAcentral.
AAUCUUCCACAAUGGACGAAAGUCUGAUGGAGCAACGCCGCGUGAGUGAAGAAGGUUUUCGGAUCGUAAAGCUCUGUUGUAAGGGAAGAACAAGUACAGGAGUCACUGUCUGUACCUUGACGGUACUUUACCAGAAAGCCACGGCUAACUACGUGCCAGCAGCCGCGGUAAUACGUAGGUGGCAAGCGUUGUCCGGAAUUAGUGGGCGUAAAGCGCGCGGAGGCGGUCCUUUAAGUCUAGUGUGAAAGCACACGGCGCAACCGUGGAGGGUCAUUGGAAACUGGAGGACUUGAGUACAGAAGAGGAAAGCGGAAUUCAACGUGUAGCGGUGAAAUGCGUAGAGAUGUGGAGGAACACAAGUGGCGAAGGCGGCUUUCUGGUCUGUAACUGACGCUGAGGCGCGAAAGCGUGGGGAGCAAACA